Molecule: transfer RNA, 76 nt
Filed under: Gammaproteobacteria bacterium
Lineage: Bacteria; Pseudomonadati; Pseudomonadota; Gammaproteobacteria
Description: tRNA-Asp
Rfam family: tRNA
About the family: Transfer RNA (tRNA) molecules are approximately 80 nucleotides in length.
Source: RNAcentral
GGGGCGUUAGCUCAACAGCGAGAGCGCUGGACUGUCGAUCCAGGAGAUGUGGGUUCGAGUCCCAUACGCCCCGCCA